AGUCGAGGGGCAGCAUUUUAGUUUGCUUGCAAACUAAAGAUGGCGACCGGCGCACGGGUGAGUAACACGUAUCCAACCUGCCGAUAACUCGGGGAUAGCCUUUCGAAAGAAAGAUUAAUAUCCGAUAGUAUAUUAAAACCGCAUGGUUUUACUAUUAAAGAAUUUCGGUUAUCGAUGGGGAUGCGUUCCAUUAGUUUGUUGGCGGGGUAACGGCCCACCAAGACUACGAUGGAUAGGGGUUCUGAGAGGAAGGUCCCCCACAUUGGAACUGAGACACGGUCCAAACUCCUACGGGAGGCAGCAGUGAGGAAUAUUGGUCAAUGGACGAGAGUCUGAACCAGCCAAGUAGCGUGAAGGAUGACUGCCCUAUGGGUUGUAAACUUCUUUUAUAUGGGAAUAAAGUAUUCCACGUGUGGGAUUUUGUAUGUACCAUAUGAAUAAGGAUCGGCUAACUCCGUGCCAGCAGCCGCGGUAAUACGGAGGAUCCGGGCGUUAUCCGGAUUUAUUGGGUUUAAAGGGAGCGUAGGUGGAUUGUUAAGUCAGUUGUGAAAGUUUGCGGCUCAACCGUAAAAUUGCAGUUGAAACUGGCAGUCUUGAGUACAGUAGAGGUGGGCGGAAUUCGUGGUGUAGCGGUGAAAUGCUUAGAUAUUACGAAGAACUCCGAUUGCGAAGGCAGCUCACUAGACUGCAACUGACACUGAUGCUCGAAAGUGUGGG
This 717-nucleotide ribosomal RNA is filed under the name uncultured bacterium. RNAcentral's name for it is "bacterial SSU rRNA". It matches the Rfam family "Bacterial small subunit ribosomal RNA", at positions 60 to 765 of the family's 1533-position model. The record is from RNAcentral.